ACGGGCAUGCAUCAGUACGGCGAGUGAAGCGGCAAGAGCUCAAAUUUGAAAGCUGGCUCCUUCGGAGUCCGCAUUGUAAUUUGCAGAGGAUGCUUUGGGUGCGGCCCCCGUCUAAGUGCCCUGGAACGGGCCGUCAGAGAGGGUGAGAAUCCCGUCUUGGGCGGGGUGUCCGUGCCCGUGUAAAGCUCCUUCGACGAGUCGAGUUGUUUGGGAAUGCAGCUCUAAAUGGGUGGUAAAUUUCAUCUAAAGCUAAAUACUGGCCGGAGACCGAUAGCGCACAAGUAGAGUGAUCGAAAGAUGAAAAGCACUUUGAAAAGAGAGUUAAACAGCACGUGAAAUUGUUGAAAGGGAAGCGCUUGCGACCAGACUCGCCCGCGGGGUUCAGCCGGCAUUCGUGCCGGUGUACUUCCCCGUGGGCGGGCCAGCGUCGGUUUGGGCGGCCGGUCAAAGGCCCCUGGAAUGUAGUGCCCUCCGGGGCACCUUAUAGCCAGGGGUGCAAUGCGGCCAGCCUGGACCGAGGAACGCGCUCGGC
RNAcentral lists this ribosomal RNA (532 nucleotides) under Aspergillus aculeatus. RNAcentral describes it as "eukaryotic LSU rRNA". It matches the Rfam family "Eukaryotic large subunit ribosomal RNA", at positions 69 to 605 of the family's 3401-position model. Lineage: Eukaryota; Fungi; Ascomycota; Eurotiomycetes; Eurotiales; Aspergillaceae. The record is from RNAcentral.